RNAcentral lists this ribosomal RNA (253 nucleotides) under uncultured bacterium. RNAcentral describes it as "partial 16S ribosomal RNA". It matches the Rfam family "Bacterial small subunit ribosomal RNA", at positions 524 to 776 of the family's 1533-position model. The record is from RNAcentral.
UACGUAGGGGGCAAGCGUUAUCCGGAUUUACUGGGUGUAAAGGGGGCGCAGACGGCGAUGCAAGUCAGGAGUGAAAGCCCGGGGCCCAACCCCGGGACUGCUCUUGGAACUGCGUGGCUGGAGUGCAGGAGGGGCAGGCGGAAUUCCUGGUGUAGCGGUGAAAUGCGUAGAUAUCAGGAGGAACACCGGUGGCGGAGGCGGCCUGCUGGACUGCAACUGACGUUGAGGCCCGAAAGCGUGGGGAGCAAACAGG